This is a long non-coding RNA of Zingiber officinale, 674 nucleotides long. RefSeq lists it as uncharacterized. The transcript is spliced from 4 exons. The record is from RefSeq and is a predicted model, not a curated record. NCBI's taxonomy places the organism in Eukaryota, Viridiplantae, Streptophyta, Magnoliopsida, Zingiberales, Zingiberaceae.
GUUCUUCCCCAACUCCCCCGACGCCGAUUUCCUCUCAGCCUCUCCUUGCCCUAACCGGCGCCGGCGCCGACAGUUUCUUCUCCACUGCCGCACCGACGCCCUCUCCGAUCUCCUCACGGCGCCACCUUUUCUCUGCCCUAGCCUCUCCACCGUCGCUCCUCGCCCUCGCAGUGGAGAGCCCUAAGAUUCCAGUCGCCGACUAGCCACGUGCCCUAGUUUUGGGUUCACAGCCGUCGACACCGAAGACUCCCUUCUCCUCUCCUUCUCCUGACGCCGAGCAGCGCCGAGCCUAGCCUCCCCGCAGUCCCCAGCGCCGACCACCGCAGUGCCGCGGCCCUUUUUCCUCUUUGGAGCUGUGCGCCGACGCCGACCCUCUUCCGCCGGCCACCAGGUCCGACCCUCAGGCGCCUCCGACUCCAUUGAUCACCAGGUGCUAUCGCGCAACCGAUGGGCCUAGUCGUGCCCUACUUCUCGCCGCCGCAGCCACCUAGCCUCUGUGCUGUUUGCUGCCACAGAAGAGGGAGGUUCUUGGUUGUGGGUUGAGUGUGUAGGGUUUCCAGCAACAGUUACUUCAUCCAACGGUAACUUUCCUUGCCUGUGGUGUAACAGGAGCAGCUGAGAAGUAAGGACUUUGACGCGAGACGCGCAUCUUGACUACCAGUUUGGACCUUUCU